AAGCAAGAAUGGAAGUUGGUUUCAAGCCCUAAUAGCCCACCUGCUCGUAGUGCUCAUCAGGCAGUUGCUUGGAAGAAUUACCUCUAUAUCUUUGGUGGUGAGUUUACAUCCCCAAAUCAAGAGAGGUUCCAUCACUACAAGGACUUUUGGAUGUUGGACCUGAAAACAAACCAAUGGGAACAACUAAAUCUAAAAGGGUGCCCUAGUCCACGCUCGGGUCAUCGAAUGGUAAUAUACAAGAAAU
Long non-coding RNA from Juglans microcarpa x Juglans regia, 244 nucleotides. RefSeq lists it as uncharacterized. The transcript is spliced from 4 exons. The record is from RefSeq and is a predicted model, not a curated record. NCBI's taxonomy places the organism in Eukaryota, Viridiplantae, Streptophyta, Magnoliopsida, Fagales, Juglandaceae.